This 231-nucleotide long non-coding RNA is filed under the name Elaeis guineensis (African oil palm). RNAcentral describes it as "long non-coding RNA (EGUI_LNC046405)". The record is from RNAcentral. Lineage: Eukaryota; Viridiplantae; Streptophyta; Magnoliopsida; Arecales; Arecaceae.
GAUGGAAGAAUAUUAGAUUAAACUAUUUAAUCUAUAAAUAUAUAUAUUAAAUUAAUCUUAAAACUCUUACAAAUAGAUGUAUAAUAUAAAUUUACAAAUAUAAAAAAUUAAAUUUAAAAUAACAAGCAUGUAAACAAAAAACAGCAUGCUAUGAUAGAUCUAAUUUACCACGGUGAGGGUUCUGAACUCAAUACUUGAGCCUAGGUAGUCAAACUACAUGAUCGAGAAUGU